CAGAGAAGGAAGUCCCACAUGAGCAACCCUUCUCUGCCUGGGGGUUGCUCACCACCUGGAAGGAGCUUCGGAUCAGCUCCUGGCUGAAGUCCACCAUGGAACCUUUCACGAAGGCCAGGCUGUCCACAUCCACAACCACACGGGCACCACCUUGUUCAAACACCCUACAAAAAAGCGGCAUAUUUAACCAUUAACUGUGCCAAAGACCUUCCAGAGAAGCACAGCCUGAGCAGUCUCCUUAUCUCAUAGGCUUCUUCCCUUCAAUGCAAGAUCCUACAGUCACACAUACCUCCUCUGCCAUUUUUACAAAGAACAGUAAUACCUGAUCACCAUUACACCCCUUUGUCCUUGCCUGUCAUCAGGAUUGAUAACUGUGUCCAAGGAAAACUUGUACUGGAAGCCAGAGCAGCCACCUCCUUCCACCUGCAGCCUGAGAAACUCUGAGCCUUCUGCAAUCUCCAGCAGUCUCUGCAAAUAAGGAAAAGGAUUAAAAGGCCUACUGAGCAAACUAGUGACACUUAAACGCCUCCCUUGUGCACCCACGGCAGGCCGGGCACUUCGGAAAUCCCUCCCAGAGACACCGGAGCCCUCCUGGGGUCCCCACCUUCACGCAGCUUUCGCUGAGGAAGACCUGUCCUUCGCUGGGCUCGCUCUCCGUCGGGCCCGGCUGGGAGAAGGACGACUCCCACCGCAGCGGGCGGACAGCCCGGGCAGGCUCAGGCGAGGGCCUCGGCAGCGCUCGUCCUCGGCACGGCGGAGCGGGGCCCCAGCUGCCUCGGGGAGAAGGGAGGACAGGGGGAGCCUCAGCGGGGUCCCCGCCACGCCGCCCGACCCCCGCAGAUGCCGCCCCUUGCCGCGCAGCGGAGACACUCGGCAUCCCCGGGGGAGGACCCUAGGGCUCGGGUAUCCAAGGGAGCGGUACCUCAUUCGGCCGCCCAGCGCCAGCACCCACCACCGCCGCAGCGCCCCCGGCGCCGCCAUAAUGGCCCAGCCCCGCCCCGCCGCCACGGCGUCCACAGAGGCGGAAGUGCCGCCCCGGCAGGCGGACGGGCACCGGGGACCGGCGUCCGUGCGCCGGCACAGCUAGGCCGCUGGGCCCGGAAACCCGCUGCAGCUUCGCAUAAAGGCACGAAGCCGCCUUUCGUCCUUGGAGGUGCUCGCAGAGGGAAGCAAACAGCAGUAAAACAGUGGGGAGCAAUAAACAGCGCAGUGCUGCCCGUCAUCGCGUGCUUGUGCCGCGAGUAGCCGUGAGGUUGUUUAUCCUGAGUAGAACUCAGGGAGGGAUCAAGGUGCCGCCGCAGGGGAGUUAGGCAAGCAGAAGAGCAAACACGGGGCCAGAGUUGAGAGCUUUUAGGGUUUUCCCCUGAUUCCGACUAGUCUGCUCUCCUUUAUCAGUGGCCUGGCCGGUCGAUCACAGAUGCACCUGCGGUUAAAAGUCUUUAUCGCUUCCUCAUGUGCUUCUGGGGGAGGAAUCCUGUUCCUCAGCCCCAGCCAGGUCUGUGGAGAGUCAUACAGUGACUGUGUGGAAGACUCGUGGAGGAAAACCAGUCAUCCCAGCAAGAGGAGAUGAUUUACCAUCAGGGGACCUUGGGACCCUGUGACAGUUUGCUUUCUCACCGUCCUGCUCCAAGAAAGGCAAUGCUUUUGAAACCACGUGCCUUUGCUUAUUUGUUCCAAACCUGAGCAUGUAAAUAAAGACUGGUUUGAGCUGUUUAA
Molecule: long non-coding RNA, 1716 nt
Organism: Pipra filicauda (Wire-tailed manakin)
Lineage: Eukaryota; Metazoa; Chordata; Aves; Passeriformes; Pipridae
Exons: 2
Source: RefSeq, a predicted model, not a curated record